UACGAAGGGGGCUAGCGUUGCUCGGAAUCACUGGGCGUAAAGCGCACGUAGGCGGAUCUUUAAGUCAGGGGUGAAAUCCCGAGGCUCAACCUCGGAACUGCCUUUGAUACUGGCUGUCUUGAGUCCGGGAGAGGUGAGUGGAACUCCUAGUGUAGAGGUGAAAUUCGUAGAUAUUAGGAAGAACACCAGUGGCGAAGGCGGCUCACUGGCCCGGAACUGACGCUGAUGUACGAAAGCGUGGGGAGCAAACAGG
Molecule: ribosomal RNA, 253 nt
Filed under: uncultured bacterium
Lineage: Bacteria
Description: partial 16S ribosomal RNA
Rfam family: Bacterial small subunit ribosomal RNA
Source: RNAcentral